Molecule: ribosomal RNA, 1194 nt
Filed under: Triticum aestivum (bread wheat)
Lineage: Eukaryota; Viridiplantae; Streptophyta; Magnoliopsida; Poales; Poaceae
Description: partial small subunit ribosomal RNA
Source: RNAcentral
AUGGCCCAUGCAGCCGUGCCACGUGAACACGGAGCAGUAGGACUUUUGGGAAACGUGCGCGUUCAGUGCUGUGGCGGAGAAGUCAUGGUCAACCCUUUCUGGGUGCCCGUCGUUGUCGAUCCAUGGUUGCUUGCAUGGAAUUUUGCUGGCCUCGGUGACCCGUGUUUGAUUAGUCCGUUGUCCAGGCACCGCAUCUUUUUCUUUUCAGCAGAUAGGCAUCUAGAGGUCAUCCGGCUCGGAAAUGUGCACCAUGGGCUGAGCGUGAGGGAGGGUCUCUCGUCUAUUGGGCCUUUUUUUGGACGUGUUCAUGUCGAGAGACUCCUCCGACACGUAGCUCGAUCGACAACUCCCGAACCAAAGAACUCACAAAAAAAACUUCCAUCUCUCCCCACCUCCCGACCCACGCCCGCCGGCCUCCCCCCAGAUCCCGCGCGGCGAGCUCGACCCACCACGUUGGCCUCCCCCCGGACCCGCGCGCCCUGCCACCAACCACCUCCCACCACCGACGGCCACCGGCCCCAACGCCUCACCUGCCGCCGCCACCCCCUCUCCCGGCCCAACGCGCCUCCUUGCACCGCCGAACCCCCGCACCAUCGCGCGCCGCCAGAUCCCCGGAGUCCCGCGCGCCGCCAGAUCCCUGGAAUCCCGCGCGCCGCUGAGACCCGACAUCCCAGCGCGCCGCGCCGCGAUUUGGUUCGGUCCUGGCGAGUUUUCUUGGUUGCCGUCGCGGAGGUGGUAAGCGGCUUCCUCUCCAAUGCGGCGUCAGCGGUGUUGAAGCAGCUGUGGUCGCUCAAAUCGACGGUCAAGACAGCGAGUGGAGCCAAGUCCAUGGUCAAGUACGACGGCGGCUACACCGUGGAGACGGUCUUCGACGACAGCAAGCUGGGGAUCGAGCCGUACGCCGUGGAGGUCACCCAGGGUGACGAGCUGCUGGAGGAGCUGGAGUACGCGGAGCAGAAUAGCCUCUUCUUCCUAGAGACGUUGGCAAAGAUGGAGAAGACGUCAGAGGAUCCCGGUCGCCGAGCCGAGACCUAUGUGCUGCUGGUGCUCGCUACCCGCAUGAACAUAGGAAUGAAGGUCACCAUCAGGCAAGGGAGAAGAUCACAUGAUGUGCAGAAAGAAGGUAAAUUUGCAGGGGACAACCGGUCCUCGCCCGUGCCAUUGGUGUGGUUAUCUCCCAUGAAUGAGCAGUAG